UGGGGAAUCUUCCGCAAUGGACGAAAGUCUGACGGAGCAACGCCGCGUGAGUGAUGACGGCCUUCGGGUUGUAAAGCUCUGUUAAUCGGGACGAAAGGCCUUCUUGCGAAUAGUUAGAAGGAUUGACGGUACCGGAAUAGAAAGCCACGGCUAACUACGUGCCAGCAGCCGCGGUAAUACGUAGGUGGCAAGCGUUGUCCGGAAUUAUUGGGCGUAAAGCGCGCGCAGGCGGAUUGGUCAGUCUGUCUUAAAAGUUCGGGGCUUAACCCCGUGAUGGGAUGGAAACUGCCAAUCUAGAGUAUCGGAGAGGAAAGUGGAAUUCCUAGUGUAGCGGUGAAAUGCGUGCGUAGAUAUUAGGAAGAACACCAGUGGCGAAGGCGACUUUCUGGACGAAAACUGACGCUGAGGCGCGAAAGCCAGGGGAGCGAACGGGAUUAGAUACCCCGGUAGUCCUGGCCGUAAACGAUGGGUACUAGGUGUAGGAGGUAUCGACCCCUUCCGUGCCGGAGUUAACGCAAUAAGUACCCCGCCUGGGGAGUACGACCGCAAGGUUG
RNAcentral lists this ribosomal RNA (554 nucleotides) under uncultured bacterium. Its description in RNAcentral is "bacterial SSU rRNA". It matches the Rfam family "Bacterial small subunit ribosomal RNA", at positions 355 to 896 of the family's 1533-position model. The record is from RNAcentral.